UAUUCAGUGUAAUAAUUAACUAGGGAUUC
Molecule: non-coding RNA, 29 nt
Filed under: Mus musculus (house mouse)
Lineage: Eukaryota; Metazoa; Chordata; Mammalia; Rodentia; Muridae
Source: RNAcentral